GUCAGUCUGAUGGUUUGCCAUAGUAGUCCCUAGCCUAUGGGUCAGUCUUUUGGUUUACUGUAGUAGUCCCUAGCCAGUGGGUGAGUCUGAUGGUUUACAGUAGUAGUCCCUAGCCAGUGGGUCAGUCUCUUGGUUGACUGUAGUAGUCCCUAGCCAGUGGGUUAGUAUGAUGGUUUACAGUAGUAGUCCCUAGCCAGUGGGUCAUCUGAUGGUCUACAGUAGUAGUCCCUAGCCAGAGGGUCAGUCUCUUGGUUUACAGUAGUAGUCCCUAGCCAGUGGGUCAGUCACUUGGUUUACAGUAGAAGUUCCUAGCCAGUGGGUCAGUCUGAUGGUUUACCGUAGUAGUCCCUAGCCAGUGGGUCAGUCUGAUGGUUUACUGUACUAGUCCCUAGCCAGUGGGUCAGUCUGAUGUUUACCUGUAGUAGAUCCUAGCCAGUGCGUCAGUCUGACGGGUUACCGUAGUAGUCCCUAGACAUUGGGUCAGUCUUUUGGUUUACUGUAGUAGUCCCUAGCCAGUGGGUCAGUCUCUUGGUUUACUGUAGUAUCCCUAGCCAGUGGGUCAGUCUGAUGUUUACCUGUAG
Long non-coding RNA from Oncorhynchus tshawytscha (Chinook salmon), 581 nucleotides. The record is from Ensembl. Lineage: Eukaryota; Metazoa; Chordata; Actinopteri; Salmoniformes; Salmonidae.